This 406-nucleotide ribosomal RNA is filed under the name uncultured bacterium. RNAcentral's name for it is "partial 16S ribosomal RNA". It matches the Rfam family "Bacterial small subunit ribosomal RNA", at positions 30 to 526 of the family's 1533-position model. The record is from RNAcentral.
AUUGAACGCUGGCGGCAGGCCUAACACAUGCAAGUCGAACGAGUGGCGGACGGGUGAGUGAUGUCUGGGAACCUGCCUGAUGGAGGGGGCUAACUGCUGGAAACGGUAGCUAAUACCGCAUACCAUCGGAUGUGCCCAGGUGGGAUUAGCUAGUAGGUGGGGUAAAGGCUCACCUAGGCGACGAUCCCUAGCUGGUCUGAGAGGAUGACCAGCCAAACUGGAACUGAGACACGGUCCAGACUCCUACGGGAGGCAGCAGUGGGGAAUAUUGGACAAUGGGCGAAAGCCUGAUGCAGCCACGCCGCGUGUAUGAAGAAGGCCUUCGGGUUGUAAAGCACUUUCAUCGGGGAGGCGGUACCCGAAGAAGAAGCAACGGCUAACUCCGUGCCAGCAGCCGCGGUAAUUC